Molecule: ribosomal RNA, 1294 nt
Filed under: Torymus sp. ZJUH_2016035
Lineage: Eukaryota; Metazoa; Arthropoda; Insecta; Hymenoptera; Torymidae
Description: 16S ribosomal RNA
Source: RNAcentral
AUAAUAUUAAAAAAAUUUGAUUUUUUUGAAAUAUUAUUUAUAUUAAUUAAAAUAAUUUUAAAUUUUAUUAAUUUAGUAUUAAAUUUUAAAAAUUUUGUAUUUUAUUAUUUUUAGUAUUGUAAAAGAAAUUUAUUCUAUAUUUAAUAGAUAUAUUAAUUUAUUAUACCUUUUGUAUCAGGGUUUAUUAAAAUUAAUUAAUUUAAUGUUAAUUUCUCGAAAUAAAUUGAUUUAAUUAAAUUUUAUAGUUAAUGUUAAAUUAUUAUUAUAAAAAUUUAAUUAGUAAUUAUAUGUUUUUCAUAAUUUAUUAUAUCUAGUUUUUUUAUAAAUUAAUUUAAUUUAGUUUAAUAAUUUAUUUUAUAUUUAAAUAUUUAAAUAUAAAAUGUUAUUAAAUAAAAGUUUAUGGGAUAAUCUAUAAAUUUUUAUUAAUAAAAAUUUAAUUUAUUUAUUAUUUUAGGAAUGAAAAUUUUUAUUUAUAAAUAAUAUGUUUUAAUUAAUGAAAUAAAAUUAAUAUUUAUAUUUAAUUUUAAUUAUUUAUAAAAAUAUUUAUUUAAAUUUUUUAAAUUUAUUAAUUAUGAUAAAAUUAGUAAUAUAAUAAUUUAAUUAGUUUAAUUUUUGAUAGGUUAAAUUAAGGAAUUAGGCAAUAAUUAAUUAUUCAAAUGUUUAUUAAAAACAUUUUUUUUUGUAUAUUAAUUUUAAAUAAAUUCUGCUCAAUGAUUAAUUAAAUAGCUGCAGUAUUCUAACUGUACAAAGGUAGCAUAAUCAUUUGUCUUUUUAUUAAGGUCUGGAAUGAAUGAAUUAAUGAAAUAAUAACUGUCUCAAUUUAAUUUUUAUAAAUUUUAUUUUAAGUUAAAAUUCUUAAAUUUAAUUAAUAGACGAGAAGACCCUAGAGAAUUUUAUAUUUAACUAUUCUUAAUUAUUAAUAAUUUUAAUUAAUUUUAAUUUAAGUAUUUUGUUGGGGUGACGUAAAAAUUUAAUAAAUUUUUUAACUAAUUAAAUAAUAAUAUUUAAAUUUUUAAAUCCAUAAAUUAUGAAAUUAAAUUAAAUUACCUUAGGGAUAACAGCGUUAUUUUAUUUGAGAGAUCAAAUCGAUAAUAAAUUUUGCGACCUCGAUGUUGAAUUAAGAUUAAUUAUUAUUGGAGAUGAUAAUAUAUUUUAGUCUGUUCGACUAUUAAAAUCUUACAUGAUUUGAGUUUAGAUCGGCGUGAGCCAGAUCGGAUUCUAUCUUUAAUAAGUUAAGAAAUUAUUGUACGAAAGGACUUAAUUUUUUUAAUAAUUAAUGAAUUUGAAUUAUAUU